Molecule: transfer RNA, 69 nt
Filed under: Pthirus pubis (crab louse)
Lineage: Eukaryota; Metazoa; Arthropoda; Insecta; Psocodea; Pthiridae
Description: tRNA-Lys
Source: RNAcentral
CACUAGGUAUCUUAUACAUAAAGUUCUAGAUUUUUACUUUAGUGAAGGGUAUAUUAGUCCCCCUAGUGG